CAUUUUUCCCCCAAUGAAUGUGUAUGCUAAGAAGGAGAACUACAUUCCACUGUGUAAUCUUAGGCAAACACGGCCUGGCUGUUGCUUCUGCAUUAAUCAAAGUUUCUCUCAUCUUGUUUUAUUUUCCCCAGCAUCUUAAUCAGUGGUCUUGGCUGUUUCCCAGCUUCUCAGAUGUAUGUACAGUAGGACUGAUACUUGUCCAGGAUCACAUCCCAAAAGAAAGAAGUAAAUUGCAACACAAAGGAUGCUAACAGAAAGACCAGGCUGCUAAAGACCCACUCAUUGUGUAGAAAAGACAUCAGCUGACAAGGGAACCUGUUUGGAAAUGCCAGAACCUUUUGGUAGAGGUCCACCAUGUUCAAGAUCCAAAACAGAUGUCUGGUGGGCAAGAAGAUCUUGUUUUAUGAUCAACAGAAACACAGAAUGGGAUCUUUAGCUAGAAAAUUGAUGGCUAACUAUUAGCUAUGCCUGAUUAAUCGGUUAAUUUUGUUGUGCUUUCUCUGAAUUUUCAGCUUACAGCUAUCGCCUCAUUAUCUAUCAUCGUUGGAUAUUUUCCUACACUAUAGACUUGAAAAUCACUUGCGGCAAACAGACAUUUAAUUACAUUUCAAUGUGCAUUUUCCUUCUUUUUAUCACACAUUCAGAGCUUAUAUAUUCAGUGGAAACAGCUGAGACUGUCUCCUGCCUUUUUUAGUGCCCUGGUUGACCUGAUGUCCACCAUGUUUACUUUUGGCUUGUUACUUAAUACAGACUUGUGGGUCAACAAGGCAAUUGGACAAGGAAUAUCCAUGAUUAGAGAUUAUCAGAAAAACUGUGGUCAGUUCUUCAUGGGGUUAGAGUGAGUUGGUCUUGGGAAAACGCAGGAGAUAAAAUUUCCUUAUGAAGGAAGGGAGAUAGUUAUGCAAUGUUCUGUAGAAAAGUCCAUCUAAAAUAUAAGAAAUUCCACGAAGGUGGGGAGAGCGAGGAUGAGUACAUUAGCCCUGUACCUUUUCUGAAGGCUAGAUGAAAGUAAACCCUUGGGGGGUGGUUUAAAGAAGCUAAAGGAGUAAUGUUUCUCAUUGUACUAGAAUCUAUUGAGUAUUUUAGUCAGGACUAGUAAAUUCAUGUUGCCAUUUCAGCAUCUUUCCUUUCUGUGCAAAACCAUUACAUUAGCAUUAUUUUCUUGGAGUGCAAGUGUUUCUGUGCUAGGUCUGUCUACUUGCCUGAGUAUCUAGUUUUGCUUAGUAGUCAACAGAACUAGCUAAACAGAGAAGUAACCAUAAGGAAUAAUCAAAUGAUGCAUGACUCAUCUGUCUUGAGAUGGAUUUAGCAAUCCCAGGCAAGUAGCAUAGACAAGUGAGAGAGAUGGCAACUGGUAGACCUGGAUUCAGUUAAACUACAGGGUGAUCUCAGUCAACCACAACAUCAAAGAGAAUUGUCUGCAUGAGAAAUGGUACAAGUCUGUAGCAUGUCCUGCCUAUGCCCUAAAUUUAUUCUUCAUAAUUUCUGGUUUACCUUUUUUUAAAAAUGAAAUAAAGAGGUUUUGUCUGUA
Heteronotia binoei (common prickly gecko) is the source of this 1531-nucleotide long non-coding RNA. RefSeq lists it as uncharacterized. The record is from RefSeq and is a predicted model, not a curated record. The transcript is spliced from 2 exons. Lineage: Eukaryota; Metazoa; Chordata; Lepidosauria; Squamata; Gekkonidae.